CUCGGGAGGCCAGCCAAGCAGCCUAUGACGCGAGUUCGGCUCUUCAGAGCAACGUCCAGAAAUCCUGCGAACUCGUAGCUCGCUAUACUGAGUUGGAGAAGCAGAAGAUUCAACUGAACCUUGAUCUGGAGCUGGCCAGAACAGAGCUGCAGAAGGUCAGAGACGGCGCCGCAGAAAAACUGAACGAAGCUCUGGCGAAGAAGGAUC
Triticum urartu is the source of this 207-nucleotide non-coding RNA. NCBI's taxonomy places the organism in Eukaryota, Viridiplantae, Streptophyta, Magnoliopsida, Poales, Poaceae. The record is from RefSeq and is a predicted model, not a curated record.